UCCAUAAUAGGCUUUGUUGACUGCUCUACCAAUCCAGCGUUGAUGAUUGUGGCCAUAAACAUAACUUUUGAUCUCAUCACCCCAAAUUACUUCUGAUUGUUUUUAGCUUGUUUCUGUGCUCUUCUGCUUUUUAAUGGUUUUCUUCAGGCAACUUGACCAUCCAUGCAGACUGUUUUUUUCUUCAACAGUCCCUUUUUUUCCUGUACAUUGACUAAAAACUGUUUUAUUAAAUCCAAACGCUCUCGUCAUCCUCAGUUAGUUCAUAUGUUGCGCAUUAACUUGCAAAAACCCCUGCAUCGCCGGCUUCCACGCUAAAAUACCUUAUCUUUUCACAGGUCGAAGCCAUCUUGGUCAACAUAUUUGGAGGUAUUGUCAACUGUGCCAUCAUUGCCAACGGCAUCACCAAAGCCUGUCGAGAGCUGGAGCUCAAGGUCCCGCUGGUGGUCAGGCUCGAAGGCACCAACGUUCACGAAGCUAAGAGGAUCCUGACCGAGAGCGGCCUGCCCAUCACAGCAGCCGACAACCUGGAUGACGCCGCCAAGAAAGCGGUGGCCGCCAUCAGGAAAUGAGAGCUUCUGCCAACAUCUUCACACUUUCCUCCCCCGUGGCUUCCGUCAUCACCAGCGGCCUUUUCUAUCCACAAACCUCCAUUUUCUCUCAUCAACAUCACUUUUUAUUUUUAAAAAGAGUUCUCACUUCCAUAUUCGUAUGGAAAACCUUUUCAAAUUAUUUUACAGUCAUGCUAUUUGUUUUUUUCUAAAUGCAACAAAUUGACUGCUUUUAAUUACUUUAACCAUCGUUUUAUCUUGAUUGGAGAAAAUUCCCACCGUUUCUUUAGGAGACAUCUUAGGAGUUUCCAGAACCUCCGACAGAAAAUGGAUUGACGUUUAUCACUUUCAUUUCAUUACAUUCCAUUUUCUAGUGGAAAGAGACGCAUCUCUCUGGAUAUUAUGGUGUUUAUGUUAAUUUUUGUAGGGAAAGGAAGACAUUUUUGUACUUCUUAAGCACAAGAAAAACUGUGAACUCUUCCAAUGUAACGUAAGCUAAAGGCGGCAAGACGUUUGGUGCAAACUGUUCCCUUCAAGGCUCAGGUUAGAUACAGCGCCUUACAUGUGUCUCGGUUGAGUUCCUACGUCAUGUCUUUUGUUUAAAGUGUGUUAAUUCCAUAUAUUUGUGCCUGAGGAUUGAAGGUUGAAAGGUUUGGAUGCUGACAUUACAGCUCGAUCAUCUCUAAACUUUUUGUUUUGUGUUUUGCUUUGUGAAAUGUUGAAACUACAAUGGGGGAAAUGUAUCAUUUUAUAAAAUCAUGAAUGUAUAUUAACAACUAAAACAAAGGUUGAAAGUUGUGUACAUAAUCUAAGAGAUUAAAAACAGAUAUUUCAAAGUGA
Molecule: long non-coding RNA, 1388 nt
Organism: Xiphophorus maculatus (southern platyfish)
Lineage: Eukaryota; Metazoa; Chordata; Actinopteri; Cyprinodontiformes; Poeciliidae
Exons: 2
Source: RefSeq, a predicted model, not a curated record